Molecule: ribosomal RNA, 460 nt
Filed under: uncultured bacterium
Lineage: Bacteria
Description: partial 16S ribosomal RNA
Rfam family: Bacterial small subunit ribosomal RNA
Source: RNAcentral
CCUACGGGAGGCAGCAGUGAGGAAUAUUGGUCAAUGGACGAGAGUCUGAACCAGCCAAGUAGCGUGACGGAUGACUGCCCUAUGGGUUGUAAACUUCUUUUAUAUGGGAAUAAAACGUUCCACGUGUGGGAUUUUGUAUGUACCAUAUGAAUAAGGAUCGGCUAACUCCGUGCCAGCAGCCGCGGUAAUACGGAGGAUCCGAGCGUUAUCCGGAUUUAUUGGGUUUAAAGGGAGCGUAGGUGGAUUGUUAAGUCAGUUGUGAAAGUUUGCGGCUCAACCGUAAAAUUGCAGUUGAAACUGGCAGUCUUGAGUACAGUAGAGGUGGGCGGAAUUCGUGGUGUAGCGGUGAAAUGCUUAGAUAGCACGAAGAACUCCGAUUGCGAAGGCAGUUCACUGGACUGCAACUGACACUGAGGCUCGAAAGUGUGGGUAUCAAACAGGAUUAGAUACCCCUGUAGUC